UACGUAGGGUGCAAGCGUUAAUCGGAAUUACUGGGCGUAAAGCGUGCGCAGGCGGUUGGGCAAGACAGAUGUGAAAUCCCCGGGCUCAACCUGGGAAUGGCAUUUGUGACUGUCCGGCUAGAGUGUGUCAGAGGGGGGUAGAAUUCCACGUGUAGCAGUGAAAUGCGUAGAGAUGUGGAGGAACACCAAUAGCGAAGGCAGCUCGCUGGGACGGUACUGACGCUAAGGCGCGAAAGCGUGGGGAGCGAACAGG
This 253-nucleotide ribosomal RNA is filed under the name uncultured bacterium. RNAcentral describes it as "partial 16S ribosomal RNA". It matches the Rfam family "Bacterial small subunit ribosomal RNA", at positions 524 to 776 of the family's 1533-position model. The record is from RNAcentral.